RNAcentral lists this ribosomal RNA (322 nucleotides) under uncultured eukaryote. RNAcentral's name for it is "partial 18S ribosomal RNA". It matches the Rfam family "Eukaryotic small subunit ribosomal RNA", at positions 1470 to 1796 of the family's 1831-position model. The record is from RNAcentral.
CCCUUAGAUGUUCUGGGCCGCACGCGCGCUACACUGAUGCGUUCAACAAGUUUCCUUGGCCGAGAGGCCUGGGCAAUCUUCUUAAUAUGUAUCGUGAUAGGGAUAGAUUAUUGCAAUUAUUAAUCUUGAACGAGGAAUUCCUAGUAAACGCAGAUCAUCAAUCUGCAUUGAUUACGUCCCUGCCCUUUGUACACACCGCCCGUCGCACCUACCGAUUGGAUGUUCCGGUGAAGUCUCGGGAUGAGGACUGGUGCCUUUAUUGGCAUGAGUUGUUCAGAACUUGUCUAAACCUUAUCAUCUAGAGGAAGGUGAAGUCGUAACA